CCUACGGGGUGCAGCAGUGGGGGAUAUUGCACAAUGGGGGAAACCCUGAUGCAGCGACGCCGCGUGUGGGAAGACGGUCCCCUGGAUUGUAAACCACUGUCCCCAGGGACGAAAAUGACGGUACCUGGGGAGGAAGCUCCGGCAAACUACGUGCCAGCAGCCGCGGUAAUACGCAGGGAGCGAGCGUUGUCCGGAAUUACUGGGGGUAAAGGGAGCGUAGGCGGGGAUGCAAGUUGGUGGUAAAAACUACCGGCUAAACUGGUAGUCGCACUCAAAACUGCAGCUCUUGAGGGAAGGAGAGGCAGGCGGAAUUCCUAGUGUAGCGGUGAAAUGCGUAGAUAUUGGGAAGAACACCAGUGGCGAAGGCGGCCUGCUGGGCUUGUUCUGACGCUGAGGCUCGAAAGUGUGGGUAGCAAACAGGAUUAGAUACCCUAGUAGUC
RNAcentral lists this ribosomal RNA (440 nucleotides) under uncultured bacterium. RNAcentral describes it as "partial 16S ribosomal RNA". It matches the Rfam family "Bacterial small subunit ribosomal RNA", at positions 338 to 795 of the family's 1533-position model. The record is from RNAcentral.